Molecule: microRNA, 22 nt
Filed under: Strongyloides ratti
Lineage: Eukaryota; Metazoa; Nematoda; Chromadorea; Rhabditida; Strongyloididae
Description: str-miR-7880m-3p
Source: miRBase by way of RNAcentral
UUUGCGCUCGAUACCUGACCAC